Molecule: ribosomal RNA, 1844 nt
Filed under: Euophryum confine
Lineage: Eukaryota; Metazoa; Arthropoda; Insecta; Coleoptera; Curculionidae
Description: SSU rRNA
Rfam family: Eukaryotic small subunit ribosomal RNA
Source: RNAcentral
UUGUCUCAAAGAUUAAGCCAUGCAUGUCUCAGUACAAGCCAAAUUAAGGUGAAACCGCGAAAGGCUCAUUAAAUCAGUUAUGGUUCCUUAGAUCGUACCCACACUUACUUGGAUAACUGUGGUAAUUCUAGAGCUAAUACAUGCAAACAGAGCUCCGACCGGAGACGGAAGGAGUGCUUUUAUUAGAUCAAAACCAAUCGGUGGCGGGUUCGCGCUCGUCAUCGUUCAACUUGGUGACUCUGAAUAACUUUACGCUGAUCGCACGGUCAUCGCACCGGCGACGCAUCUUUCAAAUGUCUGCCUUAUCAACUGUCGAUGGUAGGUUCUGCGCCUACCAUGGUCGUAACGGGUAACGGGGAAUCAGGGUUCGAUUCCGGAGAGGGAGCCUGAGAAACGGCUACCACAUCCAAGGAAGGCAGCAGGCGCGCAAAUUACCCACUCCCGGCACGGGGAGGUAGUGACGAAAAAUAACGAUACGGGACUCAUCCGAGGCCCCGUAAUCGGAAUGAGUACACUCUAAAUCCUUUAACGAGGAUCAAUUGGAGGGCAAGUCUGGUGCCAGCAGCCGCGGUAAUUCCAGCUCCAAUAGCGUAUAUUAAAGUUGUUGCGGUUAAAAAGCUCGUAGUCGAAUUUGUGUCUCGCGCCGCCGGUUCAUCGUCCGCGGUGUUAACUGGCGAGUCGCGAGACGUCCUGCCGGUGGGCUUAGCUCGCAAGGGCGGCCCAACUCAAUCCUGCCGCGGUGCUCUUCAUUGAGUGUCGAGGUGGGCCGGCACGUUUACUUUGAACAAAUUAGAGUGCUUAAAGCAGGCUAAAACUUCGCCUGAAUACUGUGUGCAUGGAAUAAUGGAAUAGGACCUCGGUUCUAUUUUGUUGGUUUUCGGAACCCCGAGGUAAUGAUUAAUAGGAACGGAUGGGGGCAUUCGUAUUGCGACGUUAGAGGUGAAAUUCUUGGAUCGUCGCAAGACGGACAGAAGCGAAAGCAUUUGCCAAAAACGCUUUCAUUGAUCAAGAACGAAAGUUAGAGGUUCGAAGGCGAUCAGAUACCGCCCUAGUUCUAACCAUAAACGAUGCCAGCUAGCGAUCCGUCGACGUUCCUCCGAUGACUCGACGGGCAGCUUCCGGGAAACCAAAGCUUUUGGGUUCCGGGGGAAGUAUGGUUGCAAAGCUGAAACUUAAAGGAAUUGACGGAAGGGCACCACCAGGAGUGGAGCCUGCGGCUUAAUUUGACUCAACACGGGAAACCUCACCAGGCCCGGACACCGGAAGGAUUGACAGAUUGAGAGCUCUUUCUUGAUUCGGUGGGUGGUGGUGCAUGGCCGUUCUUAGUUGGUGGAGCGAUUUGUCUGGUUAAUUCCGAUAACGAACGAGACUCUAGCCUGCUAACUAGGCGUAUUUUGACAUCCUAAAGGCCCGCCGGCACUUUCGGGGUUCGCCUCGUAGUGUCGCGCGCGGUUUUUACUGUCGGCGUACAAACAAUUCUUCUUAGAGGGACAGGCGGCUUCUAGCCGCACGAGAUUGAGCAAUAACAGGUCUGUGAUGCCCUUAGAUGUUCUGGGCCGCACGCGCGCUACACUGAAGGAAUCAGCGUGUCCUCCCUGGCCGAGCGGCCCGGGUAACCCGCUGAACCUCCUUCGUGCUAGGGAUUGGGGCUUGCAAUUGUUCCCCAUGAACGAGGAAUUCCCAGUAAGCGCGAGUCAUAAGCUCGCGUUGAUUACGUCCCUGCCCUUUGUACACACCGCCCGUCGCUACUACCGAUUGAAUGAUUUAGUGAGGUCUUCGGACCGAUGCGCGACGGCGUUUCGGCGUCUCGAUGCGUCUGGGAAGAUGACCAAACUUGAUCAUUU